AGUGGAUGGGGAGCAACCUAGUUGUGCGUGUGUAAAGGUAGUGCCAAGAAAAGCGGUGAUCAUGAUGAAAAUCAAUUCCCGGUACCCGAAACCGACACAGGUGGGCAAGUAGAGAAUACUAAGGGGCGCGAGGUAACUCUCUCCAAGGAACUCGGCAAAAUGACCCCGUAACUUAGGGAGAAGGGGUGCCACCGAGAGGUGGUCGCAGUGAAGAGGCCCAGGCGACUGUUUAGCAAAAACAUAGGUCUCUGCAAACUCGAAAGAGGAGGUAUAGGGGCUGACGCCUGCCCAGUGCCGGAAGGUUAAAGAAGUUGGUCAGUCUUAGGAUAAAGCUAGCGACUGAAGCCCCGGUGAACGGCGGCCGUAACUAUAACGGUCCUAAGGUAGCGAAAUUCCUUGUCGGGUAAGUUCCGACCCGCACGAAAGGCGUAACGAUCUGGGCGCUGUCUCGGGGAGAGGCUCGGCGAAAUAGGAUUGUCUGUGAAGAUACGGACUACCUGCAUUUGGACAGAAAGACCCUAUGAAGCUUUACUAUAGCUUGGAAUUGUGUUCGGGCUUCCUGUGCGCAGGAUAGGUGGGAGGCGUAGAAGGUAUUCUUGUGGGGAUACUGGAGCCAACGGUGAGAUACCACUCUCAGGAGGCUAGAAUUCUAACUUAAUUAAGGACAGUUUCAGGUGGGUAGUUUGACUGGGGCGGUCGCCUCCAAAAAGGUAACGGAGGCGUACAAAGGUUCCCUCAGACUGGUUGGAAAUCAGUCGAAGUGCAAAGGCAGAAGGGAGCUUGACUGCGAGAAGUACAGUUCGAGCAGGGUGGAAACACGGUCUUAGUGAUCCGACGGUGCUGUGUGGAAGGGCCGUCGCUCAACGGAUAAAAGUUACUCUAGGAUAACAGGCUGAUCUCCCCCAAGAGUUCACAUCGACGGGGAGGUUUGGCACCUCGAUGUCGGCUCAUCGCAACCUGGGGCGGAAGUACGUCCCAAGGGUUGGGCUGUUCGCCCAUUAAAGCGGUACGUGAGCUGGGUUCAGAACGUCGUGAGACAGUUCGGUCCAUAUCCGAUGUAGGCGUGAGAAUAUUGAGAGGAGCCUUCCUUAGUACGAGAGGACCGGGAAGGACGCACCGCUGGUGUACCUGUUAUGAUGCCAAUUGUAAACGCAGGGUAGCCAAGUGCGGAGAGGAUAACCGCUGAAAGCAUCUAAGUGGGAAGCCCACCUCAAGAUGAGUAUUCUGGUGUAAGGUCACGGGAAGACGACCCGUAAAUAGGCACGAGGUGGAAGUGCAGAGAUGUAUGAAGCCGAAGUGUACUAAUAGACCGUCGGCUUGACC
This 1323-nucleotide ribosomal RNA is filed under the name metagenome. RNAcentral's name for it is "bacterial LSU rRNA". It matches the Rfam family "Bacterial large subunit ribosomal RNA", at positions 1561 to 2925 of the family's 2925-position model. The record is from RNAcentral.